GGUUCAGGACGAACGCUGGCGGCGUGCCUAAUACAUGCAAGUCGAACGGUCUUUCUAUGGAAGCUUGCUUCCACUGAGAAGAUAGUGGCGAACGGGUGAGUAACACGUGGGUAACCUGCCCAUAAGAGGGGGGAUAACAUCCGGAAACGGGUGCUAAUACCGCAUAGUUUUCUUGAUCGCAUGAUCGGGAAAGGAAAGACGGCCUUUGUGCUGUCGCUUAUGGAUGGACCCGCGGCGUAUUAGUUAGUUGGUGAGGUAACGGCUCACCAAGACGAUGAUACGUAGCCGACCUGAGAGGGUGAUCGGCCACAUUGGGACUGAGACACGGCCCAAACUCCUACGGGAGGCAGCAGUAGGGAAUCUUCCGCAAUGGACGAAAGUCUGACGGAGCAACGCCGCGUGAGUGAAGAAAGGUUUUCGGAUCGUAAAACUCUGUUGUCAGAGAAGAACAAGUUGGAGAGUAACUGCUCCAGCCUUGACGGUAUCUGACCAGAAAGCCACGGCUAACUACGUGCCAGCAGCCGC
Molecule: ribosomal RNA, 525 nt
Filed under: uncultured bacterium
Lineage: Bacteria
Description: bacterial SSU rRNA
Rfam family: Bacterial small subunit ribosomal RNA
Source: RNAcentral